GUGUCCAGGGAGCACAAGGCCUGGGGGCCCACAAACCUGGGUCUGUAUGCCCACUCUUCAUUAGCAGCUCCAGGACCAAGUGCGGUCAGUUUUCUGGAACUCGUUUCCAUAUCUCCACUGUGAUGUAAGGAUGUGCAUGGAUCCUAAAUGUGAGAAGCUGGCAAUCACCAGGUCCCUGGCAAGUGCUCAGAGUCUGAGCUACCAUCAAAAUCAAGGGCACAGGGGGAAGCUAACUGCUUCUCUGAAUACUCUAAGGGAGGCAGAUCUAGGCCAGGUGACCAGGGUUUACAAGUCCCAGGACAGCAGGUUGGGCUUGGUGCACGGAAGAACUGAUGAGCAGCUUCACUCAUGCAGGUCCAAACAGGGUCUCUUGCUUCCCCUCUCUUUGCAGCAGGACAGAUCAGGACAAAGCCAUGCUGGAGUUGGGGCCACACAUCUGCUGAAAACCCCCAACACUCUUUUUCCCAGCAGCAGCUUCCAAGCAAUUCCUGAGGCCCUCCCACCGGCUAACCAGAAAGGAACCCACCAUUGGUCUCCUUAGUAACGACUUCCAAGGCCCCUUGGACAUCUGAAAAGCGCACAGUGUGAUUUCCAGACCCAAGUUAGACAGCGAUUUCUUCAAAGUGCAACGCCCUCAAUUAAUGAACCCUCUGGGAAUGAAGUACCUUCUAACAAAAACAUUGUUCAAAAUAAAGCUGGAAAAAAACCUCACACAGCCCCUAGGAC
RNAcentral lists this long non-coding RNA (726 nucleotides) under Homo sapiens (human). RNAcentral describes it as "long non-coding RNA NONHSAT155914.1". The record is from RNAcentral. Lineage: Eukaryota; Metazoa; Chordata; Mammalia; Primates; Hominidae.